GAUGAACGCUAGCUACAGGCUUAACACAUGCAAGUCGAGGGGAAACGAUAUUGGAAGCUUGCUUCCGAUAGGCGUCGACCGGCGCACGGGUGAGUAACGCGUAUCCAACCUGCCCACCACUUGGGGAUAACCUUGCGAAAGUAAGACUAAUACCCAAUGAUAUCUCUAGAAGACAUCUGAAGGAGAUUAAAGAUUUAUCGGGGAUGGAUGGGGAUGCGUCUGAUUAGCUUGUUGGCGGGGUAACGGCCCACCAAGGCGACGAUCAGUAGGGGUUCUGAGAGGAAGGUCCCCCACAUUGGAACUGAGACACGGUCCAAACUCCUACGGGAGGCAGCAGUGAGGAAUAUUGGUCAAUGGACGAGAGUCUGAACCAGCCAAGUAGCGUGCAGGAUGACGGCCCUAUGGGUUAUAAACUGCUUUUAUAAGGGAAUAAAGUGAGCCUCGUGAGGCUUUUUGCAUGUACCUUAUGAAUAAGGACCGGCUAAUUCCGUGCCAGCCGCCGCGGUAA
RNAcentral lists this ribosomal RNA (508 nucleotides) under uncultured bacterium. RNAcentral describes it as "partial 16S ribosomal RNA". It matches the Rfam family "Bacterial small subunit ribosomal RNA", at positions 28 to 523 of the family's 1533-position model. The record is from RNAcentral.